ACGUCUUCUUGCCUUCUGGCUUAGAUCAAGUGUAGUAUCUGUUCUUUCCUAGUUUGACCACUUGGAAUCUUUUUUUCAUUUAUCAAACAUGUUUUUGGAAUACAGCCCAUGACCUCUGGAGCUUUGUCUCUAUUGUCUGGUGGCAUGGUGUCGCUCGUAUUGCACUAUCUCGAGCUGAUGCGAAAAUCUC
Molecule: small nuclear RNA, 190 nt
Filed under: Aureobasidium subglaciale EXF-2481
Lineage: Eukaryota; Fungi; Ascomycota; Dothideomycetes; Dothideales; Saccotheciaceae
Description: U2 spliceosomal RNA
Rfam family: U2 spliceosomal RNA
About the family: U2 is a small nuclear RNA (snRNA) component of the spliceosome (involved in pre-mRNA splicing). Complementary binding between U2 snRNA (in an area lying towards the 5' end but 3' to hairpin I) and the branchpoint sequence (BPS) of the intron results the bulging out of an unpaired adenosine, on the BPS, which initiates a nucleophilic attack at the intronic 5' splice site, thus starting the first of two transesterification reactions that mediate splicing.
Source: Rfam by way of RNAcentral